CCUACGGGAGGCAGCAGUGAGGAAUAUUGGUCAAUGGGCGCGAGCCUGAACCAGCCAAGUAGCGUGAAGGAUGACUGCCCUACGGGUUGUAAACUUCUUUUAUAAAGGAAUAAAGUGAGGCACGUUUGCCUUUUUGUAUGUACUUUAUGAAUAAGGAUCGGCUAACUCCGUGCCAGCAGCCGCGUUAACACGGAGGUGCCGAGCGUUAUCCGGAUUUAUUGUGUUUAAAGGGAGCGUAGAUGGGUUGUUAAGUCAGUUGUGAAAGUUUGCGGCUCAACCGUAAAAUUGCAAUUGAUACUGGCAGCCUCGAGUACAAUUGAGGUAGGCGGAAUUCGUGGUGUAGCGGUGAAAUGCUUAGAUAUCACGCAGAACUCCGAUUGCGAAGGCAGCUUACUAAACUGCCACUGACAUUGAUGCUCGAAAGUGUGGGUAUCAAACAGGAUUAGAUACCCGAGUAGUC
RNAcentral lists this ribosomal RNA (460 nucleotides) under uncultured bacterium. RNAcentral describes it as "partial 16S ribosomal RNA". It matches the Rfam family "Bacterial small subunit ribosomal RNA", at positions 338 to 795 of the family's 1533-position model. The record is from RNAcentral.